UACAGAGGUCCCAAGCGUUGUUCGGAUCCACUGGGCGUAAAGGGUGCGUAGGUGGCGGGGUAAGUUUGAUGUGAAAUCUCCGAGCUCAACUCGGAAACUGCAUUGAAUACUAUUCUGCUAGAGGGUUGGAGGGGAGACUGGAAUUCUCGGUGUAGCAGUGAAAUGCGUAGAUAUCGAGAGGAACACCAGUGGCGAAGGCGAGUCUCUGGACAACUCCUGACACUGAGGCACGAAAGCUAGGGGAGCAAACGGG
RNAcentral lists this ribosomal RNA (253 nucleotides) under uncultured bacterium. Its description in RNAcentral is "partial 16S ribosomal RNA". It matches the Rfam family "Bacterial small subunit ribosomal RNA", at positions 524 to 776 of the family's 1533-position model. The record is from RNAcentral.